UACGUAGGGGGCGAGCGUUGUCCGGAUUUAUUGGGCGUAAAGAGCUCGUAGGCGGUUCGGUAAGUCGGAUGUGAAAUCUCCACGCUCAACGUGGAGGGGCCAUUCGAUACUGCCGUGACUCGAGUCCGGUAGGGGAGUGUGGAAUUCCCGGUGUAGCGGUGAAAUGCGCAGAGAUCGGGAGGAACACCAGUGGCGAAGGCGGCUUUCUGGCCUGUUCUUGACGCUGAGGCGCGAAAGCUAGGGGAGCGAACGGG
Molecule: ribosomal RNA, 254 nt
Filed under: uncultured bacterium
Lineage: Bacteria
Description: partial 16S ribosomal RNA
Rfam family: Bacterial small subunit ribosomal RNA
Source: RNAcentral